RNAcentral lists this ribosomal RNA (513 nucleotides) under Pseudomonas aeruginosa. Its description in RNAcentral is "partial 23S ribosomal RNA". It matches the Rfam family "Bacterial large subunit ribosomal RNA", at positions 928 to 1438 of the family's 2925-position model. Lineage: Bacteria; Pseudomonadati; Pseudomonadota; Gammaproteobacteria; Pseudomonadales; Pseudomonadaceae. The record is from RNAcentral.
CAUCCCGACUUACCAACCCGAUGCAAACUACGAAUACCGAAGAAUGUUAUCACGGGAGACACACGGCGGGUGCUAACGUCCGUCGUGAAGAGGGAAACAACCCAGACCGCCAGCUAAGGUCCCAAAGUCAUGGUUAAGUGGGAAACGAUGUGGGAAGGCACAGACAGCCAGGAUGUUGGCUUAGAAGCAGCCAUCAUUUAAAGAAAGCGUAAUAGCUCACUGGUCGAGUCGGCCUGCGCGGAAGAUGUAACGGGGCUAAACCAUGCACCGAAGCUGCGGCAGCGACACUAUGUGUUGUUGGGUAGGGGAGCGUUCUGUAAGCCUGCGAAGGUGACCUGUGAGGGUUGCUGGAGGUAUCAGAAGUGCGAAUGCUGACAUAAGUAACGAUAAAGCGGGUGAAAAGCCCGCUCGCCGGAAGACCAAGGGUUCCUGUCCAACGUUAAUCGGGGCAGGGUGAGUCGACCCCUAAGGCGAGGCCGAAAGGCGUAGUCGAUGGGAAACAGUUUAAUAUCC